UAGCAAGCACCAGGACAA
This 18-nucleotide unclassified non-coding RNA is filed under the name Mus musculus (house mouse). RNAcentral describes it as "oocyte_clustered_small_RNA13338". The record is from RNAcentral. Lineage: Eukaryota; Metazoa; Chordata; Mammalia; Rodentia; Muridae.